Maylandia zebra (zebra mbuna) is the source of this 980-nucleotide non-coding RNA. The record is from RefSeq and is a predicted model, not a curated record. NCBI's taxonomy places the organism in Eukaryota, Metazoa, Chordata, Actinopteri, Cichliformes, Cichlidae.
AGAUCCUGAACAAUGACAUUAAAAGAAAGUCUGUGGCUCUAAAAACUAAACAGUAUAAAGACAUGCUCCAAGCUGCUGUUUCUCUCCUACUCCUCUAGGUUUUCCACUGUCGGCCAUCCAGCGAUGCUGGAGGGCUACCUGGCCAAUGCUGGCCUACACAAAGAGGUCCCGGCUCGGAGGAGCUGAAGAAGAUCCUUGCCUUCCUCGUCAGUUUCCUCUUCAGUUCCUAUCCCAACAAAACCUUCUUGCACCUAUUAGCUCCAAAGAGGCUAUGGUGCCCGUGGAGGUCUGGACCUGAGGCCUGUGCUCAUCACGUGGAUAGAAAACACUCUGACACCAUUCUGGAGGUCUGAUGGGACUCUGACCAAAACACAGAUGAAAUAAAACUUGUGGCUGGAGCUUUUAAAAUUACUUUUUCACCUCAUAGAUUAAUGCUCAUGAUUGCAUGUUAGCAAGACAGCAUCUCCCCAAGGUGAAACUCUCAGGAGACAUUUACUCUUAAACUGUAAUCUGGUUGAGACUACUUGAGGAGAUCUUAGUAGCGAGUAUGUGGAUUUAGUCUCUUCACCAACAGCAGACAGACCCAUGCCAAGAAAGCAGACAUGUUCUCAAAGAAAGCCGAGAGCAGAGAUUGGAAAAAGCUAAAAAGAAAAAGCUGCAGCUUCAGACGACUAUCUGCCUAUGUUGACUGUGACCUCAGAGGCCAACUGGACCACACAGCUGCAGCAGGAGUGAGGGAGAGGAGUCUUCAUCCAGCUUCAAAGAAAACAUCCAGUUAGAAACCCUGCAGCAACCCGACCCAAAACUGUGUCUUCUUGUUGGCCUCAACGUUGAAGUGUCAAACGUCCAACAUCUGGAAAGGAAACCACGCCAGUGUACUGUGAUGUUUCACCAACAUGUGGCAGACGCUGGUCCUGCCUUUCAUGCUGACAUCAGCAGAGAGCCCCGCCUACCUCAAAGCCUCCCCUGUCAUGUAUUGA